This is a non-coding RNA of Vicugna pacos (alpaca), 452 nucleotides long. The record is from RefSeq and is a predicted model, not a curated record. NCBI's taxonomy places the organism in Eukaryota, Metazoa, Chordata, Mammalia, Artiodactyla, Camelidae.
AAAACUCAGGUAGAAGUAAGUAAAGUGACCCAGGCUACUAUCCUGUGUUACAGAGCUGGUCAGGGGAAGGCCCAGGAUUUCAACUCAGGUCCAUCUGAAUCCAUUCCCUGUGUUACAUGCAUCCUCUGUGGAUCAAGGAAAGAAAGGAUUAUAAUACACAACUUUGAACUCAGUGGCCCUUUAAAGUACAGAGUGUAUACAACUGACAUUGUUCCACUAAUCCAGCUGCAAGUCUUGUGAAGAAUUACAAGCAGGCUCCACUCCUUGAAUUUCCAUGACAACAAAUUUAUUUUUUUGCAUGAAAUUAACAUUUGAAUUCUUCUGUCAAAGCUGCAUAUAUGUGUUCCUUGGCCCUAACAUUAUAUUACGUUCAGGAAUAAAACAUUAUGACUCGUGUUAUAGAUUUUCUGAAUCCAGAUGCCUCUCUGCCUUCAUAAAUUAAUAAAAAUUAC